AAUCUCAAUUAGGUUCUUCACAUUAUUUUGAUUAAAGUCUGUUCUGUUUGCUAGCCAAGGUAUGCGCUAGCUAGAUAUGUGGUGGCAUUUAUACACACAUUUUGGGAAUUCCUCCCUUUGGUUCUCUCUUCCCAGGGUCUUCUCACUACCAAAUUUUCCAUCAUAUUUGCUUGAACUCUUCUGAGUCUUUUUCAGUUGGAAAACUGCAGAUUUCCUCACAGAGUUUUAGUUGCCUUCAGUUUUGCCAAUUGGGACUUGCUCCCAGUCCAUAAAAAGCAGAAAACUCCGUCAUUCACUCCUGACAGUGCUGAAACCACCCAGGGGAUCUGCCUGCACUUGCUCAUUCUCCAGGGCCAUUGGAUACACACCAACACAUAUAUUUUAAAAUAUAGAAAAUAGGUAAGCUUAUCAAGUAUUCUAAUAUUUAGUCUAGAGUUUACAUAAAGUUGGUAUCUGCUGAAACUUCAGUAUAUCAGGAAUUACUUACUAUAUCAGGAAUGGAACCCCAUAUAAAAGUAUUUAAAAUGCUUCUACCACACUCCUCUUUUGCUCUUUAUAGAGGCUUCCCAACCAUCUCAUGCCGAUUCAUAAACUGUCUCACAGAUGACAAAUUUCAGAUUUGAUCAAUUGUUACAAUUUUUUAAAAACCCAGGAGGGUUGCCAUUACACUGUAGCCUCCUUCUCAUCACCCCUAUAGCAUUCUGAAGACAGACAGACCUGGUAUUGGCACUAGUGUGCACAAAAUGUGUGCAGGCCACAACUGAUCUGAACCACACAGCAUACCUUGCAUCAUCCAGCAAACACUCUGGCCCAACUGUCUCUUCUCUGCCUUUUCUAUAAUCACUGGAAAAAUACAUGACCAGCUUUCCUUCUUGCUAGCGUUUCACGUAAGAUGAAGUUCUGGGCAACUGGCAACUUGCUGGCCUUUCCAGGCUUACUGGGGUGGGGGGGGGGGAGAUUGGUCAAGAGGACACACAGUGGUAGUGUGAAGAGGUGACAGAUGAUGGAUGCCAUAUGCUUCUAAGUUCAAAGGGGCCUUUAAAAAAAAUAAGAAUGAAAGAGGUGAGCUCCAAGAGGGAAGUGGCAGUUACAGAAUUUGAUUUGUUUGAAAGUGAGAUGACAGUGUAUGGUGUCCAAGGACUGAGAGGCCAUGUUUUAGAUGUUGUACCCUGCAAGUCCUGUGGUAAGAGAAGUGGCAGGGGGGAGAGAAUGAGUGUGGAGAGAAAAUCUGUCAGGGAGGAAAAGGGAGAGUCAGAUUGUUGAUGACUGGAUGGAGAAGAGCAGUGGGCAGUGGGCAGUUUGACAUGAAAAUCCAUGCCAGGGAAGCAGACUUCGAGAAAACAGACAUCCCAUUUCCAGGCCUCGUGCUGAAGGCGUGAGAGAGAAGAUGGAUAUCAGUAUUUCUUCUAAUGAAGUUAUUUAAUAAGGAUGUAAUAAAAAUGAAUAUUGCUGCCCCUAACCUGUGUGGGCAGCUGAACUAAGGGUCGCUGGUGUGAAUUUCCUGGGACACCAAGUAAAACAGACACACACUUUACCUUUAAAUCAAGCUCUCGGCCUCAAGCUCCCCAAAUGGGAGAGUGAGGAAAGUCAGAGAGGCUGGCAAGAGAGAGUGAGCAGUUUUGGAAGUGAGUUUUUAUUGGGGGGACCCUCAUUCUUAGAAAGUUCCAUCCAAAAAGGGUCAGGAGGGGCAGGGUUACAAGGACAGGUGAGUGUAAUUUGACCAGGGGGAUGCAGGACAGCACGCCUACGCCUGAAGACACAUCCUCUACCUCGAGGAUUGGGGCAAUGUCCAGAUCACUGCAAAAGUGACUGACAGAGCCUCUCUGAUCACGGGAAGGAAAAUGCGAAUCAUUCAGCAAGACAGCUUCCCACAGAAUAUAAGCAUAAAAAUAAUUAGAUUAAAUAACUACAACAAGGUCCUUUGUCCAUACAUAGCUAGUCUAAUGAUUUAAAAAAUUUCUGCAAACAGUUCUUGAAUACUACCAAAAUUUGUAUUUUGCAAUAAUAUUUAGUGAUUCUAAAGCUAUCUGCUGUACACUGGAGGCCUAAACAAAUGAGUAAACAUAUUGAUGACCCGUUUCUGCCCCUUGGAAAAUAGAAGUCAGUAUGGAGGUGGAGAAGACAAGAAGAACUGUGCAAUAGUUAUUUAUUUGAUAUUGGAGGUAUCAGUAGUUUACACAUAACCCUGAUAUCUCAAUGAUGAGUACACAGGAGACCAAGAGCUUGGUUAUACUAGUCCUCACUGAAAGAAAUUGAGCUCUCUAGAUAAUCUCUCCAGAAUCUGGGGCAGGGAAUAUUCAAGAUUUUUUUUUUUUAUUGUGCCAUAAAACAAGGGCUCAUACUGACAAUAGGAAGCCAUUGCUAAAUACAGAAAAAGUGAUGGAAUACAAAAGUCACUACUCGUAGUCUUCACAGUAAUAAGUGAUUCAGGCAAGAAUCAGCAAACACUAAGACAAAAACUAAUGGGGUAGUUACAAAAUACAGAGAUCUCCCCAUAAAAUACUAAUUUCAAAGACAAAACAGGAACGGAGAAACCUGGCAGUCACCAGUUUAUUCAAGUGAUCAAAACUAGGAUCACCGAUGAAGCCAACACAUUUCCUGUUGUGACACAUCAUUCAUGGAUUACUCGGGCCACACACACUUACCUUGUAUCUAAUCAUGAAGACUCAAACCCAAAUUUAGGGAUGUUCUUCAAAAUAACUAGCCUGUACUCUUCAGCAAUGUCCACUUCAUGAAAGACCAAAAAGCUAUGGUACUGAUCCAGAUUGAAGACAAACAUGUAAACUAAAUUGCAGGAUGUGGACAAUCUAGAUCAGAUCCUAAAACAGUGCUGUGCACAUAUGGGGCAGUUGUCUAAUUUGAAUAAACUAGAAUAGGAAAUAUCAUCAACACAUAGUGGUCCUAUAAUGUGUUUAGAAUUUCUCCUCCUUGGCCUUGGUGGGCCUUCAUGACCCCACAGUUCACUGGCUGAGGCAGAAGGGGUAUCUUCCAAGGACAAAUAGAAAAGGCCACAGUAUUUGUGUGAGCUUUCCUCAGGAAAGCUUUGUGGCUUUGGGCCACAGUGUGAUGUCCAGUUACUGUGAAGUCAGUGCUGCAGAUGCCACAUGAUAGACUUUCUGAAAAAUACCAAAACGUCUGGAGCUGCCACGUGGGAAUUGAGUGCACCAUAGCUUUGAGCAAUGAGUGUGGGGCUGUGGCAAGCCAGCCAUGGGCCGUGUGUGUGUGUGAACUAUAAAAAAGAGUACACAGGAGAGCACACAAAGUGGACUGAAACAAAGUUGCCCCUCUGUUUUGGGGGCUUUGCUCUGGUCUUUUCACUUGUUCUGCCAUGACCCCCACAUAGCUAAUGAGAUGGUUGUGGCCUUCCUAGAUGUCAGUCAACCUGCUGACAGCAAGACCUCCUGAAGCUAGACUCAACCCUGAAACCUGACCCCUUGCCUCAUUUGAAUGGCUUCUCCCCAAUAGAAGGGUUUAGCAUGUGCUGGUUCUCUUUGGUCUUUCUCGCCUGCCUUCUCCCCCACCCCUUGUGGGAGCUGCAACUGAGGAGCGGUCACUGAACCCAAAGAAAAGGUACUUUCUGUGUCUGUCUUUAUUAUUCCCCAAAUUCACUUGGAGUGACACUAACCUGUUUAGUCGUGUGAUGCAACACCAAAAUGUGGGGAGCCACUCUGGACAGGAACUUUGUACACACCUUUAAGUCCAGCGUAAAGAGGUACUGAACUGGUAUUGCACCCACU
RNAcentral lists this long non-coding RNA (3737 nucleotides) under Marmota monax (woodchuck). Lineage: Eukaryota; Metazoa; Chordata; Mammalia; Rodentia; Sciuridae. The record is from RNAcentral.